This 457-nucleotide long non-coding RNA is filed under the name Sorghum bicolor (sorghum). RNAcentral's name for it is "long non-coding RNA (SBIC_LNC015654)". The record is from RNAcentral. Lineage: Eukaryota; Viridiplantae; Streptophyta; Magnoliopsida; Poales; Poaceae.
CAGUUUUGCUGACAUGGCGCUCUAAUAAAUGUGCAUGACAUCCUGGUGAAACCCCAACUGAGACUGGCCUUAUAAUACCACCUCCAUCAUAAAACAAACAAUUUCUAUAAUCACUUAAGUUAAACUAUUUUAAGUCUAACUAACUUUAUAGAAAAAAAGUAACAAAGUUGAUUUAAUUUAGAAUCGAGGGAGUAAAAUUUACUUACAUCCUUUAGAAAUUUUGCAGCCCCGUUUGGAAGGGCUCUUCGCUGCUCCGGCUUUUCCAAUUCGUGCACUAUUUAUGGUACUAUUCAUUGACAUUUUUUUUCUUUUUUCAAAUAAACUGAGAGCUAAGAGAAGUAUCUAUUUUUAGCUCCUACGGUUCUAGACUCCCCAGCAACCGUAGAACGAAACCACUGCCGGAAGAAGCCCAACCAAACAAAGCUGCACAAGUACAUAUAUGCUUUUCAACGGGCCA